CGGAGGGGGCGAGCGUUGUCCGAAGUUACUGGGCGUAAAGCGCGCGUAGGCGGGUUGCUAAGUCCGCUGUGAAAGCCCGAGGCUCAACCUCGGAGGGUCGGUGGAUACUGGCAGUCUUGAAGGUGCAAGGGGGAGAUGGAAUUACCGGUGUAGCGGUGAAAUGCGUAGAGAUCGGUAGGAACACCAGUGGCGAAGGCGGUCUCCUGGAGCACUCUUGACGCUGAGGCGCGAAAGCUGGGGGAGCGAACGGGAUUAGAUACCCCGGUAGUCCCAGCCCUAAACGAUGGAUACUAGGUGUCGGGGGUAUCGACCCCCCCGGUGCCGCCGCUAACGCAGUAAGUAUCCCGCCUGGGGAGUACGGCCGCAAGGUUG
This 372-nucleotide ribosomal RNA is filed under the name uncultured organism. Its description in RNAcentral is "bacterial SSU rRNA". It matches the Rfam family "Bacterial small subunit ribosomal RNA", at positions 526 to 896 of the family's 1533-position model. The record is from RNAcentral.